Molecule: long non-coding RNA, 921 nt
Organism: Anopheles funestus (African malaria mosquito)
Lineage: Eukaryota; Metazoa; Arthropoda; Insecta; Diptera; Culicidae
Exons: 3
Source: RefSeq, a predicted model, not a curated record
AGCAAAAUUUAAAAAAUUGUUUUAUUUUAAUGCGAAAUUGUUGCAAUUAGUUCCUUUUCACUCAAACAAUGCUUUAAAUUAAAAAAAGGUAAAAAAUAAUGAAAAAAAUUGAAAAAAUCUAUAAAUCUGUCAAUCCACUAAGGCUCAUUUUCGCACCAAGUUUUGCCUAUAACUCGGUCGGUAUCCAACGGAUCGCCAAUCUUUAACCUGUGGUCGAUAGAUGGCACCAAUGGCUACAUUUUCUUCUUGGACGGCCAUGCCCUCAGAUGUCUGUGCCAGAAGUUAUGCGAGGAACCAAGUUCCUUACCCUGUUUGAGAAAAUGUAAAAUUUUCCUCAUUUUCGCACCAAAUUUUGCCUAUAACUCGGUCGGUAUCUAACGGAUCUCCAAUCUUUGCCUGUGGUCGAUAGAUGGCAUCAAUGGCUACAUUUUCUUCUUGGACGGCCAUGCCCUCAGAUGUCUGUGCCAGAAGUUAUUCGAGAAACCAAGUUCCUUACCCUGUUUGAGAAAAUGUAAAAUGUUCCUCAUUUUUCUGCAAUUCAGCAAAAUUUUCAAAUGUGAUAUAUUUUAUUACGAAUUUGUUGCAAUAAGUUUCUUUUCACUCAAAUAUUGCUUUAAAUUAAAAAAAGAAUAAAAAAUCAGAAAAAAAAUUCAAAACAAUUUUCCACUCGAAAAUUUCAUAAGGGGUACCCCUUGCCAUUUUUUUGAGAAAUUUAGCAAAAUUUUAAAAUUUGUUUUAUUUUAAUGCGAAAUUGUUGCAAUUAGUUCCUUUUCACUCAAACAAUGCUUUAAAUUAAAAAAAAGUAAAAAAUAAUGAAAAAAUUGAAAAAAUCUAUAAAUCUGUCAAUCCAGUAAGGCUCAUUUUCGCACCAAGUUUUGCCUAUAACUCGGUCGGUAUCCAACGGAUCGCCAAUCUUUAACC